RNAcentral lists this ribosomal RNA (119 nucleotides) under Pteropus alecto (black flying fox). Lineage: Eukaryota; Metazoa; Chordata; Mammalia; Chiroptera; Pteropodidae. RNAcentral also lists the same sequence under 1 other name. The record is from RNAcentral.
UUCUACAGCCAUACCACCCUGAAUGUGCCCGAUCUUGUCUGACCUUGGAAGCUAAGCAGGGUCGGGCCUGGUUAGUACUUGGAUGGGAGACCACCUAGGAAUACCAGGUGCUAUAGGUG